Molecule: transfer RNA, 72 nt
Filed under: Camelus bactrianus (Bactrian camel)
Lineage: Eukaryota; Metazoa; Chordata; Mammalia; Artiodactyla; Camelidae
Also listed under: 3 other names
Rfam family: tRNA
About the family: Transfer RNA (tRNA) molecules are approximately 80 nucleotides in length. Their secondary structure includes four short double-helical elements and three loops (D, anti-codon, and T loops).
Source: Rfam by way of RNAcentral
GUGGGUAUAGCUCAGUGGUAGAGCACUUGCUUAGCAUGCACAAGGUCCUAGGUUCAAUCCCCAGUACCUCUA